Molecule: ribosomal RNA, 235 nt
Filed under: uncultured bacterium
Lineage: Bacteria
Description: partial 16S ribosomal RNA
Rfam family: Bacterial small subunit ribosomal RNA
Source: RNAcentral
CCGGCACGGUGAGUAACGCGUAUGCAACUUGCCUAUCAGAGGGGGAUAACCCGGCGAAAGUCGGACUAAUACCGCAUGAAGCAGGGAUCCCGCAUGGGAAUAUUUGCUAAAGAUUCAUCGCUGAUAGAUAGGCAUGCGUUCCAUUAGGCAGUUGGCGGGGUAACGGCCCACCAAACCGACGAUGGAUAGGGGUUCUGAGAGGAAGGUCCCCCACAUUGGACUGAGACACGGCCAA